Molecule: ribosomal RNA, 250 nt
Filed under: uncultured bacterium
Lineage: Bacteria
Description: partial 16S ribosomal RNA
Rfam family: Bacterial small subunit ribosomal RNA
Source: RNAcentral
UACGUAGGGUGCAAGCGUUAUCCGGAUUUACUGGGUGUAAAGGGUGAGUAGGCGGUAACUUAAGCCAUAUGUGAAAGGCGGGGGCUUAACCCCCGAACUGCAUAAGGAACUGGGUAACUAGAGUGCAGGAGAGGUAAGCGGAAUUCCUAGUGUAGCGGUGAAAUGCGUAGAUAUUAGGAGGAACACCAGUGGCGAAGGCGGCUUACUGGACUGAAACUGACGCUGAGGCACGAAAGCGUGGGGAGCGAAC